Molecule: ribosomal RNA, 437 nt
Filed under: uncultured bacterium
Lineage: Bacteria
Description: bacterial SSU rRNA
Rfam family: Bacterial small subunit ribosomal RNA
Source: RNAcentral
GGCAGCAAUGCUGAGGUGGCGACCGGCGCACGGGUGCGUAACGCGUAUCCAACCUUCCCGUUACUCUUGGAUAGCCUUCCGAAAGGGAGAUUAAUACAAGAUGGUGUUGAAAUUCCGCAUGUUAUUUCAACUAAAGAUUUAUCGGUAACGGAUGGGGAUGCGUUCCAUUAGGUAGAUGGCGGGGUAACGGCCCACCAUGCCCACGAUGUCUAGGGGUUCUGAGAGGAAGGUCCCCCCACACUGGAACUGAGACACGGUCCAGACUCCUACGGGAGGCAGCAGUGAGGAAUAUUGGUCAAUGGUCGGAAGACUGAACCAGCCAAGUAGCGUGAAGGAUGACUGCCCUAUGGGUUGUAAACUUCUUUUGUUCGGGAAUAAAGUGCAGUACGUGUACUGUUUUGUAUGUACCGUUCGAAUAAGCAUCGGCUAAUUCCGUG